GCAGCAGGAGCAGCAGCAGGAGGUGCAGCUCUGCAGCUCGGAGGCGCAGCACUGAUCGUGGCACUGAUGGUCGCUCGGCUCUGAACACUGAAGUCAGCAGCUUGAAACACAGAACUGAUGUCCGCAGGCUCGAGACGCCAACAUGAAACUGGCUGAUUUGCAUCUGCUGCUGCAACAUCUGAGCUCGUCUGUGAGUCAGCAGGUCCACUGAGGCCACAGAACCUGGACCAAGUCCUGGUUCAGGUCCAACAACUGAGUGACACACGUUUUAAAGAUCAAAAUGAUUAUUAGAAGAUAUUUUCAGAUUUUGACCCGAGCGAGUGAGAAUAUAAUGAAAUCUCUGAAACUAAACAUUGUUAUAUUAAUGAUUGGAGGGAGAGCAGCAGCCGUCUCAUCAGAACUGUUCUGAGGUUCUGGUGACACAGAGACGAGUCACGAGUCAGUCGAUGCUCUCAUCACAUGUUUAUAUUGAUCAGGUUGAAUCUGUGUCAUAUUAUAAUAAUGAACUAAUGUUUUUCUGACUCGAGCUCCAAACUCAAAGUGAACCUGCUCUAACUUUAACUCAUUGGUCUGAUGGGAUCUAACAGAGUGGAGCGUCUUCACUCUCAGAGGAUCUUUGAGUUCAGACACGUUUACAUUUGUUCUGUCGUGUUUCUCAUUAAUAUUAAUGAUUAACAGCUGAUCAGAGUUUAAGAUGAUCCUUCAUUGAUCUUCGGGGACAGUGACGACACGAGAAGCUGAUUUUAAUUUGGGGUUUAUUUUAUCUGGAGCUGCAACGAUAAGUUGAUCGAUCGAUUGAUUCAUUGUCAACUAUUAACUGCCAACUAUUUAGAGAACUGAUUCACUGUCACGUCAACUUGUAAUGCAACAGAAGAGGAUGAAGAUGAGAUUAGUUUGUUCAUUUCUGUCCACGUUUUGUCCCUUUGUAAUGAUCAGCGGUGUGUUAACAGCGUCUGUCUUCUGUCCAGUGUCUGUUAUUUAUUCUAUGGCUUCGUUUUCUUUGUUUUUGCUUGGUAACUCUUGAACCUGUGUGACCUACGAGGGAUUUAAAAAGGGAAUGUUCCAUUUGUUUUUUUAAAUAAAUGGUGAAACAUAACAAAACAUUUAAUGAUACA
Long non-coding RNA from Acanthopagrus latus (yellowfin seabream), 1115 nucleotides. RefSeq lists it as uncharacterized. Lineage: Eukaryota; Metazoa; Chordata; Actinopteri; Spariformes; Sparidae. The record is from RefSeq and is a predicted model, not a curated record. The transcript is spliced from 2 exons.